GAUCUUCGGACCUCACGCUAUUGGAUGAGCCCAAGUCGGAUUAGCUUGUAGGUAGGGUAACGGCCUACCUAGGCGGACGAUCCGUAGCUGGUCUGGGAGGACGGAUCAGCCACACCUGGGACUGAGACACGGCCCAGACUCCUACGGGAGGCAGCAGUGGGGAAUAUUGGACAAUGGGCGCAAGCCUGAUCCAGCAAUGCCGCGUGUGUGAAGAAGGCCUGCGGGUUGUAAAGCACUUUCUAGUAGAGAAGAAAAGCCUAGGGUUAAUAACCCUGAGUUCUUGACGUAACCUACAGAGAAGCACCGGCUAACUCCGUG
Molecule: ribosomal RNA, 318 nt
Filed under: uncultured bacterium
Lineage: Bacteria
Description: bacterial SSU rRNA
Rfam family: Bacterial small subunit ribosomal RNA
Source: RNAcentral